UGGUGAUAAUUUUUGUCCACUAAAAUUACGCCAUGGAAUGCAGGAGAUGGAGCUGGGAUGGACUUAUCUUUACGUGCCCAACCGAGAAGAGCUACAACGAUGAACAACAUCUGGCCGAGGUAGAACAAUGUGAUCAAAUCUGCUUAAAUGUGAAAACAACCAAAUAUCUAAUUAGAGGACACAAAUAGCCUCACUCAAUUGAUCCAUUUACCAGUAAACCCUAGCUUAGACAUAACAAAGCAGAAGAAAUCCCAAUUAACACUAUCAUAUGCCUUAUUAAUAUUAACUUUAUAGCAAGCUCACCCACUUUCCAAUGCCAUUUGUUCUUCAAAUAGUUAGUGAUCUCAAAAUCUGCUAUCAGUGAUAAGUCGUCCAGGAACAAAGGCUGAUUGCAAAGAUGAAAUAAUCUUAGGC
Molecule: long non-coding RNA, 414 nt
Filed under: Gossypium barbadense (sea-island cotton)
Lineage: Eukaryota; Viridiplantae; Streptophyta; Magnoliopsida; Malvales; Malvaceae
Description: long non-coding RNA (GBAR_LNC003464)
Source: RNAcentral